RNAcentral lists this ribosomal RNA (253 nucleotides) under uncultured bacterium. Its description in RNAcentral is "partial 16S ribosomal RNA". It matches the Rfam family "Bacterial small subunit ribosomal RNA", at positions 524 to 776 of the family's 1533-position model. The record is from RNAcentral.
CACGUAGGUGGCGAGCGUUGUCCGGAUUUACUGGGCGUAAAGGGAGCGUAGGCGGACUUUUAAGUGAGAUGUGAAAUACUCGAGCUCAACUUGAGUGCUGCAUUUCAAACUGGAAGUCUAGAGUGCAGGAGAGGAGAAUGGAAUUCCUAGUGUAGCGGUGAAAUGCGUAGAGAUUAGGAAGAACACCAGUGGCGAAGGCGAUUCUCUGGACUGUAACUGACGCUGAGGCUCGAAAGCGUGGGGAGCAAACAGG